GGAUUGCAUGGCGGCAAGGCAGCUGGCUUCUCAUGGUCUUGCAUAAAUGGGGUGUGUGUGUGUGUGUGUGUGUGUGUGUGUGUGUGUGUGUGUGUGUGUGUGUGUUGGGUGUUGGGGCGGUGGGCAGGGGGGGCUGGACCUUCCAUCAGCAUCUACCCUUCUCUGCUGCAUCCUUUCCUAUUCGGGGGUCCCAGGAAGUUUAGGGGAAGUUUAAAGACCAGAGUAGGAUGUGUGUGUGUGUGUGUGUGUGUGUGUGUGUGAUAAAGAGGCUGGAGGUUCUUUUCUGUUCCCAGGCCAGUUGGAUAACUCUACUUCUUCCCUCUUCUUUUCUUCUUCUCCAACUCCUUUCCGAACGGGUGAAAGACAUCUUGCUUCAGAAAGGUUUAAUGCAUAACCUAGGUUUGCUUUAAAAAAAAAAAAAAAAAAAAAAAAAAAAGCUACCUUAAUUGCCCUGGUUAAUCCGACAGUUGCUCCGGCGGAAGCACUGCUCUCAGACAAACACUGGGGUCGUCCUGCAUCACUCUAAGCCUUUAUAUUCUGAGACCUCCAUCCUUCCCUGCUGAGAGAGGGAUUCCGUUUCCACACUACUGACCAUUGGUAGCAUGUGUGGGGCCCCAGGAGGAGGUAUAAUGAUGGCACACACAUGGGAAAGCCACUGAGGUGUUGCCCAAACCUCAGUUAGGAAACAAGAUUGCCACCCAUAUGCCAAAUACAAUAGUGUUUAAGAAAGGGCUCUGUUAAAGCAUGUCUCUUCUUAGGAAUGCAAAGGCCUUUGUGGGAGGAACUUAUUCUCCAGUGUAAUGAAACACUGUGCACAUGACAAGGAGAUGUACAGUCAGAAACAAAAUAACUAUACUCAAAAACACACUUAGCAACCUGAAUUGCAAGUGAUUUGUUUACAUGUCUGUUUCCCACUACACUGCAGGUUCUUUGAAGACAAGUACCACCUUCAUUACAUCUAUCUAUGCUCCUUACUGUACCCCCCACCAGUGGCUAGUGCAGUCCCUUUACAGUAGGUGGUACUAAACAUGUCACAUUGACUGAUGGGUUGGCAGAAAGAUCCUGGCAGUGACUCAGCGAGUCCAGCUUUGUAAGAAUUCCUUCGUCCUAGAUUUGAAGAUCACGAUGAGGGAUUUGUGGAGGUUAUCUAUCAACUUGUUCAUACCACCAAUAGCUUAAGGAAAUUUAAUGUGCUCUAUUAUGAGCAGCCAUGCUUAAAGCAGUUAGUAUCUCCUAAUUAAUUUUGGGAGAAAUCUCCCUCCAUUCAACAGCAUUCCCAUACCAUCUGCACUAGUUGUAUUUUGAAAAGCAUUUCAGCAUGGAACCCAGCUUUUCUAACUCGCACUGAGCGGGCUGCUUUGUGCAUGACUUUUCCUCCUCCAGGCUCCUCCUUCUGAUAUUCAUUAUAUGACAUCUUCCGUCAACAUGUGUAGUACUUAGGAAUAAUGAGAGUUGGGAAAAGUGAGUGAUGCAGUAACCAGCCCUGGGCAACUACUGUCUCCUUCUCCAUUUUAGUUGUUUUAUUUCACUAUGACUAUUUUCCUCAACCAGCCAAAGAUGCCAAUCAGCUUCUAAAGUGAUUUAGAACUCACCAGUAGCCUGAGCUAAAAACUUAAAGUAUCUGGGCUCGCUAGCUCCCUUAAUGAUGACAUAACUGCACUAGGCAUUGAAUAUAAUCAAAUCUUUCAAAAUUGAAAAGGCGUUUAAGAAUGAAAAGACCUUUAUGAGAGGGUCUUAACUCUCAGUGUAUUAAAACAAUAUGCACAUUGCAGGGAGAUUAUAUUGUGAAUAAAAUAUACUCAGAAACACUGUGAAGACUGUGAAGCCAAUUCCCACUAAUGUUUUUUCUCUUUCAUUGGUGAAUAACAAAUAAACAAACCUUAAACUAAUAAGGGAGUGACAAAAGAAAUCAGACUUAUGCCACUGUGACCCAGGAAAGGCUAAAAGCAGGUAAAAGCUAACCUAGCAUCGCAAGGCUACCAUUGCAUGAUCUGACCUUUGAAACGUAAAAUUCCAUGAAAAUAUUGAGUGUGCUAUGAGAGAGAAGUUUUUUACAAUAAACUCAUACAUUAAGAAAAAAGAAACCUCAAAUGAGCAGCCUAACUUUACGUCUCAAGGAUCUAUAAAAAAGGAGACAAAUUAAACCCAUACUUAGCAGAAGAAAGGAAAAAGUUGAGAGCAGAAAUAAAUGAAAUAUAAAAUGCAUCUUGCUGUAUAGCACUGGGAACUAUAUCUAGUCACUUAUGGUAGAACAUGACAGAGGAUAAUGUGAGAAAAGGAAUGUAUAUAUGUGUGUAUGACUGGGUCACUUUGCUGUAUAGUUGAAACUUGACAGAACACUGUAAAGCAACGAUGACGGAAAAAAAUAUAAAUCAUUUAAAAAUAAUAAAAAAUAAAAUGCAAAAACAACAGGAAAAAAAAUCAAUCAAACUAAGAAUUGGUCUCUGGAAAAAAUGAACAAAUUUUGACAAACCCCUAUCUUGGACUACUUAAGAAAAAAGAGAGAAAUCUCAAGUAAAUAAAAUAAGAAAUGAGAGAGGAGACAUUACAACUGAUGCAAAAGAGCAUAAGAGACUACUAUGAGGAAUUAUACACCAAACUACCGGAUAAUCUAAAAAGAAUCUGAUAAAUUCCUAGAAACAUGCAAUCCACCAAGGCUAAAUCCUGAGGAAAUAGAAAGUCAGAAUACAGACAUAACUAGUAUGAAGACUGAAUCGGUAAUCAAAAAUUACCCAACAAAGAAAAGCCCAGGACCAAAUGGCUUCACUGGUAAACUCUACCAAACAUUUAAAGAAGAAUUAGGAGUUCCCGUCGUGGCGCAGUGGUUAACGAAUCCAACUAGGAACCAUAAGGUUGCGGGUUCGGUCCCUACCCUUGCUCAGUGGGUUAACAAUCCGGCGUUGCCGUGAGCUGUGGUGUAGGUUGCAGACGCGGCUCGGAUCCCAUGUUGCUGUGGCUCUGGUGUAGGCCGGUGGCUACAGCUCCGAUUCGACCCCUAGCCUGGGAAUCUCCAUAUGCCGCGAGAGCGGCCGAAGAAAUAGCAAAAAGACAAAAAAAAAAAAAAAA
Molecule: long non-coding RNA, 3066 nt
Filed under: Sus scrofa (pig)
Lineage: Eukaryota; Metazoa; Chordata; Mammalia; Artiodactyla; Suidae
Description: lncRNA (ENSSSCG00035027762.1)
Source: RNAcentral